Long non-coding RNA from Bufo gargarizans (Asiatic toad), 367 nucleotides. RefSeq lists it as uncharacterized. The transcript has 4 exons. The record is from RefSeq and is a predicted model, not a curated record. NCBI's taxonomy places the organism in Eukaryota, Metazoa, Chordata, Amphibia, Anura, Bufonidae.
GUUUGUGGAAGGAAGUGUAAUAUGGCUACUGCUGGGAAAACGAAGUGAUCUUGCCCAGCCAGGCCAUGAACAUGGUCCAGGUUGGACUGAAACGUUUGCCAGUGACUAAAUAUCACUUUUUCUUGAUGGAUUAAAAAUGAUAAAAUAAAAUAAGAAGUUCAUAAAACAGAAGUUGGAGUGCCGUGGUUUAUUCUUAAUUUAUGAAGUACCACUGAGCACCGCCUUCACCCUAGAGGUGGACCAACGGAUGAACCAGCUGCAUUGGGCUGCUGUCAGAUUACACAAAAGUCGGUGUAUGCGGCGCUGCCUGCAAGACGAGAUUUCUAUUCUGCAGUAAAAAAGAUAUGUUUGCCGAGGCUUAUGAGCU